This 402-nucleotide ribosomal RNA is filed under the name uncultured Clostridium sp. Its description in RNAcentral is "bacterial SSU rRNA". It matches the Rfam family "Bacterial small subunit ribosomal RNA", at positions 355 to 774 of the family's 1533-position model. The record is from RNAcentral. Lineage: Bacteria; Bacillati; Bacillota; Clostridia; Eubacteriales; Clostridiaceae.
UGGGGAAUAUUGCACAAUGGGGGAAACCCUGAUGCAGCAACGCCGCGUGAGUGAUGAAGGUUUUCGGAUCGUAAAGCUCUGUCUUUAGGGAAGAUAAUGACGGUACCUAAGGAGGAAGCCACGGCUAACUACGUGCCAGCAGCCGCGGUAAUACGUAGGUGGCAAGCGUUAUCCGGAUUUACUGGGCGUAAAGGGAGCGUAGGCGGAUGAUUAAGUGGGAUGUGAAAUACCCGGGCUCAACUUGGGUGCUGCAUUCCAAACUGGUUAUCUAGAGUGCAGGAGAGGAGAGUGGAAUUCCUAGUGUAGCGGUGAAAUGCGUAGAGAUUAGGAAGAACACCAGUGGCGAAGGCGACUCUCUGGACUGUAACUGACGCUGAGGCUCGAAAGCGUGGGGAGCAAACA